RNAcentral lists this ribosomal RNA (576 nucleotides) under uncultured eukaryote. RNAcentral describes it as "bacterial SSU rRNA". It matches the Rfam family "Eukaryotic small subunit ribosomal RNA", at positions 200 to 776 of the family's 1831-position model. The record is from RNAcentral.
GACGCAUUUAUUAGACCAAAGCCAACCCGCUCUGCGGCAAAGCAAUGGUGACUCUGGAUAACCUUAGCGGAUCGCAUGGCCUUGCGCCGGCGACGAAUCUUUCAAAUGUCUGCCCUAUCAACUGUCGAUGGUACGUGCUAUGCCUACCAUGGUUGUAACGGGUAACGGGGAAUCAGGGUUCGAUUCCGGAGAGGGAGCAUGAGAAACGGCUACCACACCCAAGGAAGGCAGCAGGCGCGCAAAUUACCCACUCCCGGCACGGGGAGGUAGUGACGAAAAAUAACCAUACAGAACUCAUGUGAGGCUCUGUAAUGGGAAUGACGGCACUUAAAAUCCUUCACGAAGGAUCAAUUGGAGGGCAAGUCUGGUGCCAGCAGCCGCGGUAAUUCCAGCUCCAAUAGCGUAUAUUAAAGUUGCUGCAGUUAAAAAGCUCGUAGUUGGAUCUCGGGCGUGAGCUAGGGGUCUUGCAAUCGCUUGUUACUCCUAGUCUCAGCCUAACUGCCGAUUUUCUAUGGAUGCGCUUCACUGUGUGUCCAUAGUAGUCGGAACGUUUACUUUGAAAAAAUUAGAGUGCUC